RNAcentral lists this long non-coding RNA (923 nucleotides) under Cicer arietinum (chickpea). RNAcentral describes it as "long non-coding RNA (CARI_LNC001910)". Lineage: Eukaryota; Viridiplantae; Streptophyta; Magnoliopsida; Fabales; Fabaceae. The record is from RNAcentral.
CAUAUUUUCCUGCUAUAUAAAAUUUUGCAACAUAAUUUUGACCUCAAUUUAAAAACACAGCGUUAUAAAGAAAGACAACUUAACCUACAACAAGACAAUUUACCCGGAGAAGAAAAUUUGUGGCAAUUCAAUUCAUUCAUCACAAUUAAGGACAAAUAAUCAAUUACCCACCAUAAUCUCAAGAAAAAUUGGGUUAAUUAAAUUAAAAAAAAAACAGGGGAAAGGGAGAUCCAAGUAAAAAAAUAAACAUAACAAAAUUUUAUACAGCAACAAUAUUACAUAAUACAAUAUUUUCAGUGUCUCUGCAAAUAAUCUCUAUACUUUAGUAACUAGUAAUUAACUUAACUGCCAUAAACGCCUUUUCUAUUUAAAAUAAAAAAGAAAAUUAAAAACAGCACUAAAAAUUAAAAGAAAAUAUAUAUAUAUAUAUAUAAGAUGAAGAUUUAUAGUUGCAGAGACGUAACAGAAACAGAUCAGUUAUUAUCUAUCGGAAUCAUAUCCAAUCGGUAUAGGUGGUGUUGUAGAAGGAGAAACUCCUCCGUCUUCUAUUCCGUUACCGUUAAUGUUUUUCCGUCCACCAUCGCCGCCUGGCAAAGACGCAAACGGCGUAGCAAAAUUAACGAUACUUUGAAAUACUCUUUUUUUGACUUGUCCUCUUCUCGGUGGAAGUAGUGUUUGUUUGUUGUUUUCCAUUUCAAAUAUGAGAGAGAGAGAGAGAGAAAUGGUUGUUAAUGAUGAUUAUGAUGAUGAUGAUUAUGAUUAUGAUGAGUAGAGUGAACUGUGAAGAUAUAUAUAUAAUGUAAAGUGGGAACGAGUGUGUGAGACUGUAGGGACUCAGUAACUUGGCCGCGAAGAUUUAUUGAGUCGCUGUUGUAACUCGGUGUCACCUAUGUGGAAUAUUCAACCCUUGUGUGUCUACGUGG